This 89-nucleotide transfer RNA is filed under the name Candidatus Omnitrophota bacterium. RNAcentral's name for it is "tRNA-Leu". It matches the Rfam family "tRNA". From Rfam's summary of the family: Transfer RNA (tRNA) molecules are approximately 80 nucleotides in length. The record is from RNAcentral. RNAcentral also lists the same sequence under 2 other names. Lineage: Bacteria; Pseudomonadati; Candidatus Omnitrophota.
GCCCGGGUGGCGGAAUAGGCAGACGCAAGGGACUUAAAAUCCCUUGAGGCUAUGUCCUCGUGCGGGUUCAAUUCCCGCCCCGGGCACCA